UACGGAGGGUGCAAGCGUUGUCCGGAAUCACUGGGCGUAAAGGGCGCGUAGGCGGCCUGGUACGUAGGGGGUGAAAUCCUGCGGCUUAACCGCAGGGCUGCCUUCUAAACUGUCAGGCUUGAGCACGGUAGAGGCAGAUGGAAUUCCCGGUGUAGCGGUGGAAUGCGUAGAGAUCGGGAAGAACAUCAGUGGCGAAGGCGGUCUGCUGGGCCGUUGCUGACGCUGAGGCGCGACAGCGUGGGGAGCAAACAGG
Molecule: ribosomal RNA, 253 nt
Filed under: uncultured bacterium
Lineage: Bacteria
Description: partial 16S ribosomal RNA
Rfam family: Bacterial small subunit ribosomal RNA
Source: RNAcentral